GACGAACGCUGGCGGCGCGCUUAACACAUGCAAGUCGAGCGAAGCGGCGGACGGGUGGAUAACACGUGAGUAACCUGGCUUAGACAUUGGGAUAGCCUCGGGAAACCGGGAUUAAUACCAAAUGGUCUAAGAUGGACUCGCGUCCCAUUAGAUGGUUGGUGAGGGAACGGCCCACCAAGGCGACGAUGGGUAGCCGGCCAGUGAGGGUGAACGGCCACUUUGGAACUGAGAAACGGUCCAAACUCGACGGGAGGCAGCAGUGGGGAAUAUUGCAAAAUGGAGGGAACUCUGAUGCAGCGACGCCGCGUGAACGAAGAAGGCUUUCGAGUCGUAAAGUUCUUUUAUAUGGGAAGCGGUACCAUAAGAAAAAGCCCCGGCUAACUACGUGCCAGCAGCCGCGGUAAUUC
RNAcentral lists this ribosomal RNA (407 nucleotides) under uncultured bacterium. Its description in RNAcentral is "partial 16S ribosomal RNA". It matches the Rfam family "Bacterial small subunit ribosomal RNA", at positions 28 to 526 of the family's 1533-position model. The record is from RNAcentral.